AAUACAGUCCAACUAUUUUUCUGAAGCUUCAUAUAGUAAUGGUUAGAAAUGAGCAAACAUACAAGAAAAGCGGACGGCUAGAUCUAUGCUAGAAUGCACCUCGAACCUAGAACCAAGUUAGCGACCUCGACGCCGGCGAACUUAAACUUUUAGAACUGCUUUUCGCUGGGUUUGCAGCUGUUUAGAGACUAUUUUCAGCUCCUUUUUGAGAUGUUUUGAGGGAGUCUUAGAAGCUUAGUUUGGAGCUCGAUUUGCAGGUGUUCUUGAAGAAGGGUGGUGCUAAUGAAUCCCCUCAAAAUGUGCAUGAACGUGACCUUUUUUCAGAGCAGAAAAGAUCUGAUGUCAUCUAGAUUUUUAGGAAUUUUACGAUUUGCUUUUUGCUCUUUGUUUAACAAUUCUCAAGGUCUGCCGCUUAUCAUAUAGAAUUCAGGGAUUCAAAGAUUCAUGGAUGCCAUUUUUUUUUGUAGUUUAGGACUAGGGAUUGAGAACAUAGGGUAGGAUUUUUGUAAUUGUAUAUUUUAUAUGGAAUUGGGAAGGGAUGGUGGCCAUUGGAUUAGAA
RNAcentral lists this long non-coding RNA (559 nucleotides) under Nicotiana benthamiana. RNAcentral describes it as "long non-coding RNA (NBEN_LNC025949)". The record is from RNAcentral. Lineage: Eukaryota; Viridiplantae; Streptophyta; Magnoliopsida; Solanales; Solanaceae.